This 428-nucleotide ribosomal RNA is filed under the name uncultured bacterium. Its description in RNAcentral is "bacterial SSU rRNA". It matches the Rfam family "Bacterial small subunit ribosomal RNA", at positions 917 to 1341 of the family's 1533-position model. The record is from RNAcentral.
GGGCUCACACAAGCGGUGGAGGAUGUGGCUUAAUUCGAGGCUACGCGAAGAACCUUACCUAGACUUAACAUGUUUGAGAAUCUCUGUGAAAGCAGAGAGUGCCUUUCGGGGAACUCUUACGUAGGUGCUGCAUGGCUGUCGUCAGCUCGUGUCGUGAGAUGUCGGGUUAAGUCCCUUAACGAGCGAAACCCUUAUCUUCAGUUGCCAGCGAGUAAUGUCGGGGACUCUAAGGAGACUGCCGGUGAUAAACCGGAGGAAGGUGGGGACGAUGUCAAGUCAUCAUGGCCCUUACGGGUAGGGCUACACACGUGCUACAAUGGCUGGGACAAAAGGAUGCGAAACGGCAACGUUGAGCCAAUCCCUUAAACCUAGUCUUAGUCCGGAUUGGGGUCUGCAACUCGACCCCAUGAAGCUGGAAUCGCUAGUAA